AGUCUUCUGGCUUGAAAACAUAUUAUAUGAAGUUGGAAAAGAAGAAUGUGCCAGAGUGCCAGUUGCAUGAGUGUCACAGUCCCAUGGUCCAUCGCACGUCUUUCCCCCAUCCCCUUCUCCUUUGCUCUGAGAGGGUAUCCACCCUCCGCCGGGCAUCAAGUCUCUUCAGGAUUAGACACAUCCUCUUCCACUAAGGCAAGGCAUGGCAGUCCAUGUGUCAGGGACCUCAGACCUGCUCUGUAUGCUCUUUGGUCGGUGGCUCAGUCUCUGGGAGCUCCCAGAGGUCCAG
This is a long non-coding RNA of Mus musculus (house mouse), 289 nucleotides long. RefSeq annotates it as predicted gene, 41736. The record is from RefSeq and is a predicted model, not a curated record. Lineage: Eukaryota; Metazoa; Chordata; Mammalia; Rodentia; Muridae. The transcript has 2 exons.